UUCGUAGGCGGUUUAUCAAGUCUUGCGUCAAAGCUCCAGGCUUAACUUGGGAAAGGCGCCAGAUACUGGUAGACUUGAGGAUGGAAGAGGUGAGCGGAACGUUGCAAGUAGCGGUGAAAUGCAUUGAUAUGCAACGGAACACCAAUGGCGAAGGCAGCUCACUGGUCCACACCUGACGCUGAGGGACGAAAGCUAGGGAAGCAACG
This 206-nucleotide ribosomal RNA is filed under the name uncultured bacterium. RNAcentral describes it as "partial 16S ribosomal RNA". It matches the Rfam family "Bacterial small subunit ribosomal RNA", at positions 568 to 773 of the family's 1533-position model. The record is from RNAcentral.